GCUGUGUCCAGGGCAGGUCAGACUUUACAGCUGUCUGAUUGGUUCCUUGGGUGUGGAGAUGAAGGAGACACUGGCUGUGAUUGGUUGGUAUGGAAAGGGGCGGGGUUCGAAAACAGCAGUAGAUGAAUCCUUGUUCUUUUUCCUCCCCCUCUUUCUUCUCCUCUGUCAGGAAGCUGUACAAAGUCGCGUUCCCUCCUUCAGACAACACUGAUAGCGCCACCCUCCUUCCUGGAGAGAUGGAGGGGAGGAGAGGUGAAAGGAGGAGGAGGGAAGGCAAGGAGAGAGGAGAGAAGAGAGGGGGAAAGAAGGAGGGGAGAUGAGGAGAGAAGAGAAGAGGAAAGGAGGAAGAGGGGAGGCAAGAAGAAAAGAGGACAAAAUGAGGGGAAGGGGAGGCAAGGAGAGAGGAGGGAAGAGGAGGAGGAGGGGAGGCAAGGAGAGAGGAGGGAAGAGGAGGAGGAGGGGGGGCAAGGAGAGAAGAGGAGGAGGAGGGGAGGCAAGGAGAGAGGAGAGAAGAGGAGGAGGAGGGGAGGCAAGGAGAGAAGAGGGGAGGCAAGGAGAGAAGAGGAGAGGGGAGGCAGGGACAGAGGAGAGAAGAGGAGGAAGAGGGGAGAGGAGGAGGGGAGGCAAGGAACCAGGAGAUGAGAGGGGAAAAUAGAGGAGAAGAAGAGAGGGGGAGGAGAGGAAAGGUGAGGAGUAAAAUCCAACAUUUUCAGUCAAUAAAA
Long non-coding RNA from Oncorhynchus tshawytscha (Chinook salmon), 722 nucleotides. Lineage: Eukaryota; Metazoa; Chordata; Actinopteri; Salmoniformes; Salmonidae. The record is from Ensembl.